This 207-nucleotide unclassified non-coding RNA is filed under the name Hevea brasiliensis (rubber tree). The record is from RNAcentral. Lineage: Eukaryota; Viridiplantae; Streptophyta; Magnoliopsida; Malpighiales; Euphorbiaceae.
GUCCCUGCAUUCCUGGUUGUUUUUGCCAUCCUCUGGUUUGUGCUCAGACCAAGGCGGGCGAAGCCCAAGAUCAAUUAGUUACAAGCUUGGAGGCAAAAUGUACUUGACAGAGCAGCUGCAUUCGGACAUUGGACGUAGACGGUUUUCUUCGAUAGUCUAUGUUAUCAUGCUAAUUGUUUGGUUAAAUUUGUAAGGAUGAACUCUGGC